AGAGCAGAAGCUUCCCAAGCUUAAGACGAGGGUUCGAUUCCCUUCACCCGCUCCA
Molecule: transfer RNA, 55 nt
Filed under: Pusillimonas sp.
Lineage: Bacteria; Pseudomonadati; Pseudomonadota; Betaproteobacteria; Burkholderiales; Alcaligenaceae
Description: tRNA-Ser
Rfam family: tRNA
About the family: Transfer RNA (tRNA) molecules are approximately 80 nucleotides in length.
Source: RNAcentral